Molecule: long non-coding RNA, 359 nt
Organism: Oncorhynchus tshawytscha (Chinook salmon)
Lineage: Eukaryota; Metazoa; Chordata; Actinopteri; Salmoniformes; Salmonidae
Source: Ensembl
GGAGGAUGUAGAGAGGUGGAGAACGUAGAGAGGUGGAGGAUGUAGAGAGGUGGAGGAUAUAGAGAGUUGGAGGAAGUAGAGAGGUCAAGGACGUAGAGAGUUGGAGGUGGUAGAGAGGUGGAGGAUAUAGAGAGUUGGAGGAAGUAGAGAGGUCAAGGACGUAGAGAGUUGGAGGUGGUAGAGAGGUGGAGGACGUAGAGAGUUGGAGGACGUAGAGAGUUGGAGAAUGUAGAGGUGGAGGAUGUAGAGAGGUGGAGGACGUAGAGAGAUGGAGGACGUAGAGAGUUGGAGGACGUAGAGAUUUGGAGGAUGUAGAGAGGUGGAGGACUUAGAGAGGUGGAGGACUUAGAGAGGUGGAG